This 253-nucleotide ribosomal RNA is filed under the name uncultured bacterium. RNAcentral describes it as "partial 16S ribosomal RNA". It matches the Rfam family "Bacterial small subunit ribosomal RNA", at positions 524 to 776 of the family's 1533-position model. The record is from RNAcentral.
UACGUAGGGUGCAAGCGUUAAUCGGAAUUACUGGGCGUAAAGCGUGCGCAGGCGGUGAUGUAAGACAGAUGUGAAAUCCCCGGGCUCAACCUGGGAACUGCAUUUGUGACUGCAUAGCUAGAGUACGGUAGAGGGGGAUGGAAUUCCGCGUGUAGCAGUGAAAUGCGUAGAUAUGCGAAGGAACACCGAUGGCGAAGGCAAUCCCCUGGACCUGUACUGACGCUCAUGCACGAAAGCGUGGGGAGCAAACAGG